GGGUAAUUAACUCAGUUGGUAGAGUAUCUUGUUUACACCAAGGGUGUCAACGGUUCGAGUCCGUUAUUACCCC
RNAcentral lists this transfer RNA (73 nucleotides) under Thecamonas trahens. RNAcentral's name for it is "tRNA-Val". It matches the Rfam family "tRNA". From Rfam's summary of the family: Transfer RNA (tRNA) molecules are approximately 80 nucleotides in length. Their secondary structure includes four short double-helical elements and three loops (D, anti-codon, and T loops). The record is from RNAcentral. Lineage: Eukaryota; Apusomonadida; Apusomonadidae.